AGUCGCAUGAAAUUCAAACUGCCACACUUGACGACGCGUGAUCUUUGUUUUGUCUUUAUAUAAUACUGUAAGAAGUCAUGUACCACACAUUGUCAAACCUGAAGAAGUGUAUCUUCCUGCAAUCUGGGCUCCAGACCUGGAGAUUGAAGUUCCUAAAGGUUGAUGUUUAUCAAGCUUGUGACCUUAUUGCAUGGUGUUAUUUUUUUACAUUUAUAUAUCUAAUACACAUUUGCACAUCUGUAAACAUAAAUUUAAUAUUUUGUGGGUUAUUUUUAAAUUUUAUUUAACCAGUUGUUGUAUAUUGAAAUCUGUUAUUACAUGUUAUG
Molecule: non-coding RNA, 326 nt
Organism: Paramisgurnus dabryanus
Lineage: Eukaryota; Metazoa; Chordata; Actinopteri; Cypriniformes; Cobitidae
Source: RefSeq, a predicted model, not a curated record